This is an RNA transcript of Alexandromys fortis (reed vole), 3295 nucleotides long. It is a transcript of the gene named SHC adaptor protein 2, with no coding region annotated. The transcript is spliced from 14 exons. The record is from RefSeq and is a predicted model, not a curated record. Lineage: Eukaryota; Metazoa; Chordata; Mammalia; Rodentia; Cricetidae.
GCGAAGGGCUGGGGUCCUAGGAGCGCAGCCCCCCGCGGCUGCGCGCUGCGCGAAGCGGUGACAUCACCAGGCGGGGAGGAGCGCGCGGCUCCGUGCCAGGCUCAGCCGGGGCUCCUCGGCGGCCGCGGCCAUGACUCAGGGUCCGGGUGGCCGCGCGGCCCCCGAGCCCGAGGCGCCCACCACCUUCUGCGCGCUGUUGCCGCGCAUGCCGCAGUGGAAGUUUGCGGCACCCGGCGGCUUCCUGGGUCGCGGUCCGGCGGCGGCGCGCGCGGCGGGGACGGCUGAGGCGCAGCCCGAGCCAGGGGUCCCCGCGCUGACCGCCGUGCUGGGCGCCUGCGAACCGCGCUGCGCCGCGCCCUGCCCGCUGCCCGCGCUCGGCCGCUGCCGGGGUUCGGGAACGCGGUGCGCACGGGGGACCCCAGACGUCGCCGAUGAGUGGGCGCGCAAGGGCGGCUUCAUCCACAAGCCAGCUCACGGCUGGCUGCACCCCGACGCCAGGGUCCUGGGGCCCGGGGUCUCUUACAUCGUGCGGUACAUGGGCUGUAUUGAGGUGCUCCGGUCCAUGCGCUCUCUGGAUUUCAACACCCGAACGCAGGUGACGAGGGAAGCCAUCAACCGGCUCCAUGAGGCCGUGCCUGGCGUCCACGGCUCCUGGAAGAAGAAGGCCCCAAACAAGGCGCUGGCUUCCAUCCUGGGGAAGAGCAACCUGCGUUUCGCUGGCAUGAGCAUCUCCAUCAACAUCUCUGUGGAUGGCCUCAACCUGUCUGUUCCUGCUACCCGCCAGAUCAUUGCCAACCAUCAUAUGCAAUCCAUUUCCUUCGCUUCGGGUGGAGACACGGACAUGACUGAUUACGUGGCCUAUGUGGCCAAGGACCCCAUCAACCAGAGAGCCUGCCACAUCUUGGAGUGCUGUGAGGGUCUAGCCCAGAGCAUCAUCAGCACUGUAGGCCAAGCCUUCGAGCUGCGCUUCAAGCAAUACCUGCACAGUCCCCCCAAGGCCAUAGUGCCCCCCGAAAGGCUGACAGGGCUGGAGGAGUCGGCCUGGGGUGACGACGACGAGGCCAUGGACCACAAUUACUAUAACAGCAUUCCAGGGAAGGAACCACCCCUGGGUGGGCUGGUGGACUCCAGACUGGCUGUCACACAGCCCUGUGCCCUGGCGACACUUGGAGACCUCGGACAGGGAAUGUCACCUGCACGGAGAGAUACCCGGGGCUUGCCAUGGGACUUGGGUCCCUCCGGAACAGCCCCACCUGGGGAUGGCUACGUGCAGGCAGAUGCUCGAGGGCCACAUGACUAUGAGGAGCACCUGUACGUCAACACCCAGGGCCUGGACACUAUGGAGUCUGAGGACAUGUUCGAGGCCCCUCUGCUGCCUGAGGACAGCCCCAAGAAGGACCUGUUUGACAUGCGACCCUUUGAGGAUGCCCUGAAGUUGCACGAGUGCACAGUCGCAACAGGCAUCACUGCAGCCCCGUUCCCUUUGGAGGACCAGUGGCCCAGCCCCCCUACCCGCAGGGCCCCCAUUGCACCCACAGAGGAGCAAUUGAGGCAGGAGCCCUGGUACCAUGGACGCAUGAGCCGUCGGGCUGCGGAGAAGCUGCUUCGUGCCGAUGGGGACUUCCUUGUGAGAGACAGCAUCACCAACCCGGGGCAGUAUGUCCUCACAGGCAUGCACGCAGGGCAGCCCAAACAUCUGCUGCUGGUGGACCCCGAGGGUGUGCCUCUCCGAGCCCCCAGCCUGGGUGGCUGUUCCACAAGCAGGAUGGCAGUUGCGGCUUCUCAGUGCAGUCAAUCUUGCUGGAAUCAGCUGCUCUGGCUCCUGCUCAGUCUCACUGUGGAGCCCUGUCUGACUGACGCUUCCUCUGUAGACUUCAGCCUACUUUGGAACUCAGAGCUCUGCCCCGGAGUGCUGGGAUUAAGGAUUUUGCUGGUGCCAUGAGAACCCAUAAGCAGCCAUUUCUGAAGCACUCCAGGCUGGGGAAGUCCUUCUGACUUCGUGGGGACUUAGAGGCCUUUUCUAGGCUCCUGCUGGGGAAAGAUUGGGCUUGGAGCCUUCUCAGCCACGGAAGCCAUAGUGAUUUUACUGUCUAGAUUAGUAAUUCCCAACCUUCCUCAUGCUGUGGCCCUUUAAUACAGUUCCUCAUGCUGUGCGACCCCAGCCAUACAACUGAUUCAUUGUGGCUUCAUAACUGUCGAUUUUCCAGUGUUGUUUAGGCGGGACAUCUGACAUCUGACCCCUGUGAAAGGGUCGUUCCACCCCAGAGGGUUGCAACCCACAGGUUGAGAACUGAUAGUCUAGCUGGACCCUUGUGUGAUUUCGGGGUGUCUUGGUUUCCUGGGGUUCUGAAGCACGUGACCACAGAUGAUACAGCCUAAAAGAGGGUGGGACUUGUCCUGAGGAGAUCUCUGUGCCAGCCCUUAGCCGGAGCCUGGGGGUGGUUGGUAAUCUCUGCCGUCUUUGGUUUGCAGACACAUCGGCUCCGUCUCUUCUUCUUUGACUUGUAUGCAUGCACAUGGCAUCUCCCUCUUGGGGCUUCCUCUCUUUCUUGAGGCAGGGUCUAACUGUGCAGCAGUGGUUGUCCUGGAGCUUGUAGACCAGGCUAGCCUUUGCCCUCUUGAAUGCUGGGUUAAGGGCAAACAGUUUCCCUCUUUCUCUUAAGGCAUGGUCUCUCACUGAAGUUGGAGCUCAGAGAUUUAGGUUGGCUGGUGAGCAGGCUCCAAGGGGCCCACCUUGGGCUGGAUCUUCUCUUAGCACUGGGGUAGCAGGUGCACACAGGUGCAGGUGCACACAGGUGCAGGUGCACACAGUUUUCAUACAGAGUUGGGGGCUCCAGAUUCAGAUCUCCAUGCUGUGCAGCAGGCACGUUACUGACCAAACUCCUCAGCUUUUCAACUUUUUAUUGUUAGUUUUGAGACAGAGUCUAUGAGGCUGUCCUCAAACUCAAAAUCCUCCUGCCUCAGCCUCUCUGAGCGCUAGGCUCAUGGGUGUGCCUUAUCACACUGGGCCUGUGGUUCUGGAGUCUUGGGGCUGGUUCUUGGGUGGAGCCCUAUGCUCCACAAGUGCUUACCCAGCAGGUCUAAGCUGGUGGGAGUGUGGCACGUGGGAUGCCGUCAGGGAUGGGUGCUGAGGUUUCUGCCCACAGGUGCGGACAAAGGACGUGCUGUUUGAGAGCAUCAGCCACCUCAUAGACUACCACCUGAAGAACGGGUUGCCCAUUGUGGCUGCCGAGAGUGAGUUGCACCUGCGGGGAGUGGUCUCCCGGGAGCCAUGAGCCAGGUGACAGCUUCUACC